Molecule: non-coding RNA, 26 nt
Filed under: Mus musculus (house mouse)
Lineage: Eukaryota; Metazoa; Chordata; Mammalia; Rodentia; Muridae
Source: RNAcentral
UACCGUAGCACCAACAAGUCUGGUAG